CUACCGUUUGCAACGACACUUAAGACAAACUGGCAGAGUCCAAUUCCGGCUGGCAGGAAGCCGGGUGCUGUGGCAGGCUGAUUAGGCUGUGUGGGCACAAAGAGGCUUGGGACUGAAAUGCAGGCCACAGAAUUUUCACCUAGUGAUUCCUCCGUCCAGCCUCGUAGCUUGUGCUUGACCUACAGCAUCUUUUAGAAAUGCCUGAGCAAUCUUGAUUUGAAGGCUCCAAAUGAUGGAGAAUCCACCACACUUCUAGUGAGCAAGCAAAAGUCUAACAGCUGAACUGAUGUGCCUGAAAGACUCCUGGCAGGCAAUCCAUCAAGCAAGUAUUGAUUAGAACUGCCGCAGCAGCCAUUUUGCACAGCUCUCCACCGACCUGCACAACCGCGAAGGCUCAGAUGCUGGAGGCCAUGGCAGCUGCACGGAAGAGAUGCUGGAAUGCUUUUUCACUACAUGUCCCCCAGUUACAGCCUCGGGGGCAGCUAUGAGACGGUGGAUACAAAAGAGUAUUCUAUUUUUAUUAACGUCCCCUGCAGAUAGAGAAAAAGAAACCAACGUCAGGCCUGCUUUGUGCUUUCUUCUUUCUUCUUCUGCUUUCUUCUUGUGGCCCUUCAAUUGCAAAAGGAACCUCAGGCGAAUGGGAUUGGGAAUACUGCCAAAUUAAUAACACACGGUCACUUCCCAGUGUCAAUGAGUGGGAGAGCUGCAUCUCGCUUUAUUGUUGUCAGGUUUUCCUGGGUAGCUGGAGUUGGGGUUCCCUUAUUUCCUCCAGGCCAGGGGGGCAAAGUGGGAAAUUCUUUGUUGA
Caretta caretta (loggerhead turtle) is the source of this 805-nucleotide long non-coding RNA. RefSeq lists it as uncharacterized. Lineage: Eukaryota; Metazoa; Chordata; Testudines; Cheloniidae. The record is from RefSeq and is a predicted model, not a curated record.